Fukomys damarensis (Damara mole-rat) is the source of this 1136-nucleotide long non-coding RNA. RefSeq lists it as uncharacterized. The transcript is spliced from 3 exons. The record is from RefSeq and is a predicted model, not a curated record. Lineage: Eukaryota; Metazoa; Chordata; Mammalia; Rodentia; Bathyergidae.
AAAAAAAAGUGUAUUGUUUUCAUACACAAAUUUCAAGAGCAAUUUCCCAGUGUUUCUCUUUCCUAAGUUCCAGAAUGAAUCCAAUAUAGAAGACAUUAGUCUUGUGGAUCUUGACAGAGAGCAGCCAGAGGCUCAAACCAUCUUCCUGGGAAAUGUGUCGAGCAAUGCGUCCACAGCCAUUCAGAAGCAGUGCCUGUGUUAUGGCUGCUGCCUGGGUCUGCACUCAGGAUUGGAGAAGCCUGUAGUCACCCUGAGCUGCCUGUGCACGCCCAUAUCGGAAAACAUCCACAGCUGCCAGGUAGCAAUCUGAGCAGGAGUGGCUGGUCUGAUGGGCCAAGAUCGCAGGGACCGAGCAGGCAACUGGCCAAGCCCUGGGGAUGAAAUACAAAAAUUCAAGGCUUUCAAAGAACACAGAUUAAAGCAGAAUGAAGAGAGGAAGUACUAGAUCUCCAAGGACAGACAGUUUACCGCAUCAUAUAAUUUCAAAAAGAUGAGUCCCAGCUGGGGAAGGAGGAGCCUUGCCACACCUUGGUGAGCAAUCUACGGCAUCUGGCCCUGAGAGCAAAGAGGUAUGUUGGGGCUUGCGUGGCACAUAGGAGGGCAGACCCGGCAUGCAGUGGUUCCUUCUUAGCUCCAGAACCAUGGGGGAGUGGGUGGGGCUUCUGGAAGUCUCAACUUCAGUUUACUUGGAGAAAGUGCGGUCAAGAAGGCCCCUCUGGCAGUGUGGUAGAGCCAAGAGAAGGGUGGGAGAGAAUAAUGGCUGUUCUUCCCCUUUGCAAGAGAUCACAACUUGAAGCUAUUACGGUGCUUCUAUUGAAAAGUUGAGUUUAAGAUUUAGCAAGGCCUUCUUUGGGAGGUGGCAGACAAAGAAUGUGGCUUGGAUUUCUUUCACUGUGGACAACAGGAGUGACUUCUGUGGCCUGUACUUUGUCUGUUCUUUCUGCUGCUCAGAUCAGGUCACUACCCAGCCUGGGAUGGGUUCUCCUGAGCAUGUCCACCCUGUGGACUUCUAGAAAUUCUUCAAGGAGAGCCCUGGUGUGUUGAGGAAAAGCCUGAAGAAGGCCAUUCAUUAUGCUGAGACCAGGUAAGUGUCAGAUGCUAGGAAGGCUUGGGCAUUCUCAACAGUUCAAAGGUCA